This 79-nucleotide transfer RNA is filed under the name Achillea wilsoniana. RNAcentral describes it as "tRNA-Tyr". It matches the Rfam family "tRNA". From Rfam's summary of the family: Transfer RNA (tRNA) molecules are approximately 80 nucleotides in length. Their secondary structure includes four short double-helical elements and three loops (D, anti-codon, and T loops). The record is from RNAcentral. Lineage: Eukaryota; Viridiplantae; Streptophyta; Magnoliopsida; Asterales; Asteraceae.
GGGAGAGUGGCCGAGUGGUCAAAAGCGGCAGACUGUAAAUCUGUUGAAGUUUUUCUACGUAGGUUCGAAUCCACUUCUA